Molecule: RNA transcript, 3818 nt
Organism: Hermetia illucens (black soldier fly)
Lineage: Eukaryota; Metazoa; Arthropoda; Insecta; Diptera; Stratiomyidae
Gene: alph
Gene name: protein phosphatase 1B
Exons: 7
Source: RefSeq, a predicted model, not a curated record
UUGGCCGCUGAUGUUGUCAUUUUGUUUUCUAAAUUUAGCCCCGCUAGUAUGAGCGUGAAGUAGAGAAAAGUGAGCGCGGCGCAUCCGCGCAAAAGCAGCGCAAACUUCAAAACGUCGUGGCGGGGCGUGUGUAGUUGUGCAAAACGACUAAUAGGAAUCACUUUGUUUUUACUGCACACACGGCCGUUUGGCAGCUGUCACACAAGUAGCGCAAGUGGGGCUCGUGUCGGGAUAGGUGGAGAGCUCGGGUGUGUGCACUGGCGACCGUGUCAAUCGCUACGCACACACUGGCACGGAAACAGUUUUCAGUUCUCGAUCCACACUCCGCCAUUCAACUUUAAUUUUUACACAUUCUGGGAGCUAGAAAAAAAGCAGCUAAAGAACGCGUACGCUGAGAAAAUUUCGUGCUUGAAACGUCUUAAAUUUCAAUUUUGUUGUUGAGUUUGUCGGUUUCUGGUUUCCCGCGGCGUGCGGUCUUCAACAACAAACGUCCUUGCGUAGAGUCUGACAUUGGGAACGGGCCAUCGAGAAGAAUUCGGACUCGAAACGACUUUCAUUGAUCACAAACGUCGUCCUCGCUGCGUUUUCUCGGCGACGACAUCGUGUUUGGUUGCUCCCUUUUUUCUUUUUGCCACAAGUGCUUCGAAUAACCGCUGGCGUAAUCGUUAUCAGUGACAUCCUCGUGAAUUUCUGCUUUGCGUUGCAGUAGGCGCUCCGGAUCGUGGGUGCAUCGUCGCGUAGUUACCGCACGCUUAGAGAAAAAACGGUGAAAGAUAAAAGCCAGGGACGAAGGCUUGCACCUUAACGGAAGGUUCCCUCAACUUGGUCGUGUACGGAGCAAGCAGGGCUGGUGAUGUUCCUGCAGAAGUAACAUUUCACCGGAAUAACGAAGUGAACCAGUAACAGAACAAAAGGACAACUGAAAAUAUCCUUCUCUAUGAGUUCAGUAUGAAAAUAGGAAAUGGGAGGUUUCUUGGAUAAACCGAAGACAGUUAAACAUAACGAACAUGGUGAAGGCAAUGGACUUACUUACGGCGUCGGCUCUAUGCAGGGCUGGCGUUGUGAAAUGGAAGAUGCACACUACGCCCGGACGGGGUUAGGUGAAAAAUUCGAAGAAUGGAGCUUCUUUGCAGUAUUCGACGGUCAUGCAGGCUGUAAAGUGAGCGAACAUUGUGCAAAACAUUUACUUCAGUACAUCAUAGACACGGAUGAGUUCAAAAAUGGCGAUUACGUUAAAGGAAUUCGAACUGGAUUUCUACGAAUUGAUGAAAUUAUGCGUGAAUUGCCUGAAUUGACAGCGGACGCUGAAAAGUGUGGCGGAACAACAGCUGUUUGUACAUUUGUUUCAGAUAAACAUAUUUACAUUGCAAAUUGUGGAGAUUCACGAGCCGUUCUAUGCCGAAAUGGAGUACCCGUUUUUGCAACACAGGAUCACAAACCUGUACUACCAAAAGAAAAGGAACGAAUCUGUCGAGCAGGUGGCAAUGUGAUGAUACAACGAGUUAAUGGCAGUUUAGCUGUGUCUCGAGCAUUGGGCGAUUAUGAUUUCAAAAAUGUUAAGGAAAAAGGACAAUGCGAACAGCUUGUAUCGCCUGAACCAGAAAUUUUUUGUGAAGAGCGUGAUGAAAGUGAUGAGUUCUUAGUACUUGCCUGUGAUGGUAUCUGGGAUGUAAUGACCAAUGAGGAUGUUUGUAGCUUUAUUCAUUCGAGGCUUAAAAUUACCAAUGAUUUGGAAUUUAUUUCAAAUCAAGUUAUUGAUACAUGCUUACAUAAGGGGAGUCGUGAUAAUAUGAGUAUCAUCAUUAUUGCAUUCUCUGGAGCGCCAAAACCUUCACCUGAAGCUAUUGAAGAAGAUCGGCUAUUGGAGCAACAUAUUGAAAGCAUAAUCAGAGAAGAACUUGUGUGUAAGCAAAUAAAUGAAUACGCCGAGUUGCUGGAAGCCCUUCACUUACGCGAAAUCGAAGGUUUGCCGCCAGGUGGUGGUCUGCAAUCAAAAUAUGAAGUAAUCGAGAAAACGUUCAAGGAGAUUUGGCCUAAUCUGGCAUACCAGUGUGAAUAAAGAAAAAUGUGAUAUCAACAAUGUUUACUCGGCAAAUCCAGCGUUGUCUGCUAUCUAUGUUAAAAGUGUAUAUCCGUAAUAGAGCCAAAAAAUAAUACCUGUCAGGUAACCAGCCACUUCAUGGUUGUGUGGUGGAAUCUAAAAGCUUAAGAGUCCAACGCAUUGAUUUCCGGUGUUUUAAUCUAUAUAUAUUUACAACCUGAAUGUUUGCAAUUUUAAUUUUACUCGUUAUUUGAAUAAAGAAAAGAAGAAUUGAGUGUUUCAUGUACUUUAUGUGAAAAACUCUGUGUAAUAAGAAACUUUGUAUAAAUACCUACUAUAAAAAUAAGAAACGAAAUCAGUGAGAAAGGAACACCACUAAAGAGAAAUUCAUUCGUUCUGAACUAUAGAUACAAGUAAGAAGUAUAUAAUUGGGAGUUAACAAAAGAUGAAGUAUGUUGUAUAUGUGAAUUUUUUUUAAAAAAAAAGAAAGAAGAGAAGAUAUAUUUCAUAAAGAUGCGGAUAGGAAAGCCAAUCAUGACAAGGAGGAGAAAAGUAAGAAUCACUUAAAAAGAAAAGUACAGUAGAUUGUCGGUGUAGUGAACCUUUCAAAUUUUGAAAAGCAUCUUACAAAAACUUCUUUAUAUCAAAGGAUGAUGUAAACAGUACUUGGUUUCGUCCUUGAACAGUAUUAGGUUCAAUUUAAAAUAUUAAUUGAAAACGAUGUACGAAUAUUCUUCAUAAUAUGUAAAUGUAAAUAUGGAAUACCAGUAGAGAAUAUCACAAACAAUUUUGUCCGUCAUAAAUGGUCAAUCUCAUUAAAAAUUUACGUGUAUUGUAAUUCAAGCAUUUUCAGAUGUAAUAAUUUUUAGGUUCAGUCACUAGAAGAUAUACCACUUGUCCGAAGGUUCAUUAUCCCAAAAGUCUACUGUACUGUACAACUAAAAAUAUGGCAGAGAUCGAUUUGUUUUACACUCAAUUACAUGAAGAAUAUCUUUUAUAGGAAGGACCUUUUAUUUAUAUGAAUAGUGCGUAAAUGGAAAGUAACUGAAUUUUCGAGAUCAAUGUCAUUUAAAACUAAGGAUAUGUCAUUAGUAGUAAUUAACGGAGAAACAAAAUGAAUAUAUGAUUUGAGUUUAUUUUUUUUUUUUUGAAUGGAGGACGAUGUGUAUAAAUCUUGUUGAUGUACUUCAUUAGGUUUGUUUUUUUUUUAUUUUCCUGUCUAAAAGAUAUAUGUUAGUCUGAAAUCCUGAACGAUCGAUUUGUUCUUUAGUAAAUCUGAACAAAUCAAUGCCCUUACUUCAUGUAUCUAGUUCAAGUGUAGAAUUUUUGUAACACGAUCGAUAAUCAGGCACGGGAACACUUACAACCCCACUUCACAAUUCAGGAUUUGACUCUAACGUAUAUAUUCCACUGUACAUUAGCUUGUUGAUAAUUAUAGUUUUUAUUGUACGAUUGUAAUUUAUAUGGUUCAAUGCAAAGUACUACUUUACAACUUUAUUUAUUUUGAUGACUACCUUUACUUCUUCACCAUGGUAACUUCUAGAUCUUUUGAUAAAUGUUAAAAACCGAAGCUUGGACAAAGAAAAUAUCCAGAGAAUAAACUUACCACUCAACAACAACUACAACCAACAAUAAUUUCAGUGAUACAAUAAAGAUACAAAUGCAAAAUGGUCAUAUGUACGUAUAUCAUGAUUGCAAGUGUGCACAAAACAACAUUUUCCAUAAAAAAGAAUUAUAUUUCAGUAGUUUUACAGAAAUAAAUUAUAGUAUGUGUUUA